This is a long non-coding RNA of Sinocyclocheilus anshuiensis, 101 nucleotides long. RefSeq lists it as uncharacterized. Lineage: Eukaryota; Metazoa; Chordata; Actinopteri; Cypriniformes; Cyprinidae. The transcript is spliced from 3 exons. The record is from RefSeq and is a predicted model, not a curated record.
UAUCUGUAAAUUUUAUAUUUUGCACUUACUUUGUAGUAAUAGAGUGUGUUGUCUGAAACAAGUUUGUAUGAAUAAAGUUUUUGUUUUUGGAGAAUCAUAAU